RNAcentral lists this ribosomal RNA (432 nucleotides) under uncultured bacterium. Its description in RNAcentral is "partial 16S ribosomal RNA". It matches the Rfam family "Bacterial small subunit ribosomal RNA", at positions 29 to 507 of the family's 1533-position model. The record is from RNAcentral.
AACGAACGCUGGCGGCAUGCCUAACACAUGCAAGUCGAACGAGACCUUCGGGUCUAGUGGCGCACGGGUGCGUAACGCGUGGGAACCUGCCCUUAGGUUCGGAAUAACUCCCCGAAAGGGGUGCUAAUACCGGAUAAUGUCUUCGGACCAAAGAUUUAUCGCCUUUGGAUGGGCCCGCGUUGGAUUAGCUAGUUGGUAGGGUAAAAGCCUACCAAGGCGACGAUCCAUAGCUGGUCUGAGAGGAUGAUCAGCCACACUGGGACUGAGACACGGCCCAGGCUCCUACGGGAGGCAGCAGUGGGAAUAUUGGACAAUGGGCGAAAGCCUGAUCCAGCAAUGCCGCGUGAGUGAUGAAGGCCUUAGGGUUGUAAAGCUCUUUUACCCGGGAUGAUAAUGACAGUACCGGGAGAAUAAGCUCCGGCUAACUCCGUG